GAUGAACGCUGGCGGCGUGCCUAACACAUGCAAGUCGAACGAGGUAUUUUGAUUGAAGUUUUCGGAUGGAUUUCAAGAUACCGAGUGGCGGACGGGUGAGUAACGCGUGGGUAACCUGCCUCAUACAGGGGGAUAACGGUUAGAAAUGACUGCUAAUACCGCAUAAGCGCACAGUACCGCAUGGUACGGUGUGAAAAACCCCGGUGGUAUGAGAUGGACCCGCGUCUGAUUAGCGAGUGGGUGGGGUAACGGCCCACCAAGGCGACGAUCAGUAGCCGACCUGAGAGGGUGAUCGGCCACAUUGGGACUGAGGCACGGCCCAGACUCCUACGGGAGGCAGCAGUGGGGGAUAUUGCACAAUGGAGGAAACUCUGAUGCAGCGACGCCGCGUGAGUGAAGAAGUAUUUCGGUAUGUAAAGCUCUAUCAGCAGGGAAGAAAAUGACGGUACCUGACUAAGAAGCCCCGGCUAACUACGUGCCAGCCGCCGCGGUAA
Molecule: ribosomal RNA, 494 nt
Filed under: uncultured bacterium
Lineage: Bacteria
Description: partial 16S ribosomal RNA
Rfam family: Bacterial small subunit ribosomal RNA
Source: RNAcentral